CUUGGUCAUUUAGAGGAAGUAAAAGUCGUAACAAGGUUUCCGUAGGUGAACCUGCGGAAGGAUCAUUAUUGAAUAUGCUUGAUGGGUUGUCGCUGGCCUUUCGAGGCAUGUGCACGCCUGUCUUGACUCCAUUCAUCCACCUGUGCACCUAAUGUAGUCUUAUCUUCUGAGGGCGUUGUAGGAAGCCGGCUUAAGCCUGUGCGGAAUCGCGCCUCGACGAAGUAGUAGGGCUAUGUCUUUAUCACAAACCAUGUAGUAUGUUGCCAGAAUGUAUCAAUGGGCCUCUGUGCCUAUAAAAUCUUAUACAACUUUCAGCAACGGAUCUCUUGGCUCUCGCAUCGAUGAAGAACGCAGCGAAAUGCGAUAAGUAAUGUGAAUUGCAGAAUUCAGUGAAUCAUCGAAUCUUUGAACGCACCUUGCGCUCCUUGGUAUUCCGAGGAGCAUGCCUGUUUGAGUGUCAGUAAAUUCUCAACUCCUUCAGCUUUUAUUAGUUGAACGGGGCUUGGAUGUGGAGGUCGUGCGGGCCCUUCAAUGGGUCGGCUCCUCUGAAAUACAUUAGCGGAACCGUUUGCGAUCCGUACAGGUGUGAUAAUUAUCUACGCCUAGUGGGUUGCUCUCUGUGUUGUUCAGCUUCUAACCGUCCCCGCAAAGGACAAGCUUCAUUACUGAACCUUUGACCUCAAAUCACGUAGGAUUACCCGCUGAACUUAAGCAUAUCAAUAAGCGGAGGA
RNAcentral lists this ribosomal RNA (731 nucleotides) under uncultured Leucocoprinus. RNAcentral describes it as "eukaryotic LSU rRNA". The stretch from base 307 to 460 matches the Rfam family "5.8S ribosomal RNA". Lineage: Eukaryota; Fungi; Basidiomycota; Agaricomycetes; Agaricales; Agaricaceae. The record is from RNAcentral.